RNAcentral lists this ribosomal RNA (259 nucleotides) under Pantoea sp. PNT03. RNAcentral's name for it is "partial 23S ribosomal RNA". It matches the Rfam family "Bacterial large subunit ribosomal RNA", at positions 187 to 484 of the family's 2925-position model. Lineage: Bacteria; Pseudomonadati; Pseudomonadota; Gammaproteobacteria; Enterobacterales; Erwiniaceae. The record is from RNAcentral.
GGGGAACUGAAACAUCUAAGUACCCGGAGGAAAAGAAAUCAACCGAGAUUCCCCCAGUAGCGGCGAGCGAACGGGGAACAGCCCAGAACCUGAAUCAGUUUGUGCAUUAGUGGAAGCGUCUGGAAAGACGCGCGAUACCGGGUGAUAGUCCCGUACACGAAAGUGCACAGAUUGUGAGUUCGAAGAGUAGGGCGGGACACGUGGUAUCCUGUCUGAAUAUGGGGGGACCAUCCUCCAAGGCUAAAUACUCCUGACUGAC